AAGGAACUCGGCAAAAUUGCCCCGUAGCUUCGGGAGAAGGUGUGCUCUUUAGGGUUAACGCCCAUAAGAGCCGCAGUGAAUAUGCCCAAGCGACUGUUUAUCAAAAACACAGGUCUCUGCUAAACCGUAAGGUGAUGUAUAGGGUCUGACGCCUGCCCUGUGCUGGAAGGUUAAGAGGAGUGGUUAGCUUCUGCGAAGCUACGAAUCGAAGCCCCAGUAAACGGCGGCCGUAACUAUAACGGUCCUAAGGUAUCGAAAUUCCUUGUCGGGUAAGUUCCGACCCGCACGAAAGGCGGAACGAUUUGGGCACUGUCUCAACGAGAGACUCGGCGAAAUCAUAGGACCUGGGAAGAGGCAGGUGAGCCGCGCCAGGACGGAAAGAACCCCGGGCG
Molecule: ribosomal RNA, 392 nt
Filed under: Staphylococcus aureus
Lineage: Bacteria; Bacillati; Bacillota; Bacilli; Caryophanales; Staphylococcaceae
Description: partial 23S ribosomal RNA
Rfam family: Bacterial large subunit ribosomal RNA
Source: RNAcentral